GCGGGGGUUGCCGAGCCUGGCCAAAGGGGCUAGAAAAUUGGAAGCGCGGGACUUAAGAUCCCGUCUCUUAGGAGUUCGUGGGUUCAACUCCCACCCCCCGCA
This 102-nucleotide transfer RNA is filed under the name Nitrososphaerales archaeon. Its description in RNAcentral is "tRNA-Leu". It matches the Rfam family "tRNA". From Rfam's summary of the family: Transfer RNA (tRNA) molecules are approximately 80 nucleotides in length. Lineage: Archaea; Thermoproteati; Nitrososphaerota; Nitrososphaeria; Nitrososphaerales. The record is from RNAcentral.